CCGGCGUUUCAGCGGAGACGCCGACAGCAUCGGACUCAUGAUCCGUGGGCCGUGGGUUCGAGUCCCGCCCGCCCUA
RNAcentral lists this transfer RNA (76 nucleotides) under Nonomuraea pusilla. RNAcentral describes it as "tRNA_Pseudo_CAT". Lineage: Bacteria; Bacillati; Actinomycetota; Actinomycetes; Streptosporangiales; Streptosporangiaceae. The record is from RNAcentral.